This is a non-coding RNA of Clostridium autoethanogenum DSM 10061, 30 nucleotides long. NCBI's taxonomy places the organism in Bacteria, Bacillati, Bacillota, Clostridia, Eubacteriales, Clostridiaceae. The record is from Rfam.
AUUUAAAUACAUCUCAUGUUGAGGUUCAAC